UUUGAAGUGCUGCAGGGCCAAGCAGGGGGACCAGAACCACUACCUCAAACUGACCAGGGUUCAGACGCAAGGAGGAGUGUGGUGGUAUUCCCUCAGACACUGUUUGAUGCUGGCUGCCUCCUGCAAGAAUCCUCAAGCUAUAGAGAAAAUCUACAAUAUUAAGACAGACCAGCAGAGAAGCCCAUCUGCAUUUGCAUCUCUAACGUGGAGCAGCUGGUGGCCGCCAAGCCUCCCUUCAGCCCUCUGCUCUGGGAGUUUAUGAGGAAUGUGUAUCCAGGCGGCAUCAGCUGCAUCGUCAGCAAAGGAGACUGGCUGUUCAAACUAUGAGUGGGACCAGGGUAUGACCGUGUUGGCACCAAGGAUAGCAUCAUGAUCCGCGUUCCUAACCACACGGUGACGGGCCACCUAUGUGAUAUCACCAGACCCCUUGCUAUCACGUCAGCCAAUCCAGCGGAGAGCCAGACAGCAACCACCACACCAUGGUCAUCAAUCGACUGGGACACAAGAUUCAAGGGGUACUGUGUGACGGAGACUCAAAUGAAGUUGUUGCUUCCACGUGGU
Long non-coding RNA from Etheostoma spectabile (orangethroat darter), 561 nucleotides. RefSeq lists it as uncharacterized. The transcript has 4 exons. Lineage: Eukaryota; Metazoa; Chordata; Actinopteri; Perciformes; Percidae. The record is from RefSeq and is a predicted model, not a curated record.